AGGUUCGCUACUCUAUGCGAUUAAAAAGGGAAACCAGCGAGAGUCUGGUACUGUCCCGCAGCUGUGAGUUGCAUUCUUACGCCAAACGACACUGCCAAAAGGCAAGAAAGGGUUAUGAACUGGCACUUUUCAUUCGUAACAUCUUUCAAGCCAGACCGACGGGAAGUCGCUUCGCCUUUAAGCCAGCAACAAGUCAGAAGACCUGCCAUUGC
This 212-nucleotide non-coding RNA is filed under the name uncultured Prevotella sp. Lineage: Bacteria; Pseudomonadati; Bacteroidota; Bacteroidia; Bacteroidales; Prevotellaceae. The record is from RNAcentral.